GAUGAACGCUGGCGGCGUGCCUAAUACAUGCAAGUCGAGCGAACGGACGAGAAGCUUGCUUCUCUGAUGUUAGCGGCGGACGGGUGAGUAACACGUGGAUAACCUACCUAUAAGACUGGGAUAACUUCGGGAAACCGUAGCUAAUACCGGAUAAUAUUUUGAACCGCAUGGUUCAAAAGUGAAAGACGGUCUUGCUGUCACUUAUAGAUGGAUCCGCGCUGCAUUAGCUAGUUGGUAAGGUAACGGCUUACCAAGGCAACGAUGCAUAGCCGACCUGAGAGGGUGAUCGGCGACACUGGAAGUGAGACACGGUCCAGACUCCUACGGGAGGCAGCAGUAGGGAAUCUUGCGCAAUGGGCGAAAGCCUGACGGAGCAGCGCCGCGUGAGUGAUGAAGGUCUUCGGAUCGUAAAACUCUGUUAUUGGGGAAAAACAUAUGUGUAAGUAACUGUGCACAUCUUGACGGUACCUAAUCAGAAAGCAACGGCUAACUACGUG
This 497-nucleotide ribosomal RNA is filed under the name uncultured bacterium. Its description in RNAcentral is "partial 16S ribosomal RNA". It matches the Rfam family "Bacterial small subunit ribosomal RNA", at positions 28 to 507 of the family's 1533-position model. The record is from RNAcentral.